GCAAUGCCCGCAAGGGUGACAAUGCGACGUCGCGUGAGUGAUGAAGGCCUUCGGGUUGUAAAGCUCUGUCAGCCCGGAUGAAAGCGAGGAGGACAAUACCCUUCUCGUCUGACGGUACGGGCAGAGGAAGCUACGGCUAACUCCGUGCCAGCAGCCGCGGUAAUACGGAGGUAGCGAGUGUUGUUCGGAUUUAC
This 194-nucleotide ribosomal RNA is filed under the name uncultured microorganism. RNAcentral's name for it is "partial 16S ribosomal RNA". It matches the Rfam family "Bacterial small subunit ribosomal RNA", at positions 368 to 554 of the family's 1533-position model. The record is from RNAcentral.